AUUGCAUUGAGUGAACAAGCAACAAAAUGGCAUACAUAGAUCAUAUUUAUACCUAAUCACCUUGAUUUGAAUGAAUUAAAUAACUUGCAGACAACUUAAAAGACACAUCAUUAUAUAAGCUGUCGGUUUCACUAUCUAUAUAUAACUUACAGACGGCAGCCAUCACUGUCUAUAUAUAACUUACAGACAGCAGCCGUCUAAACUGUUGAAGGUGCCCUGAUUAGAGAUAUAUCGCUGUAAGGAUCGCUGGCUCCGGAGCCUCUCCGCCGCUCCCGCCUGUUGCGUCACGCCGCGUGUCCACCCAAUGAGAUCAUACUGCGUGUCGCGCAUUAACGUGGCUGCUCAUCGCGUCUGCUUGACGCGCAGCAACAGAAUCAAGCAGUCAGCCACGCCACUUGCUCGCCGCGUGUCCAUAAGUCCAUAACCAGGAGAGUCGUCCUUGCAUCUCCACCAAAUCGGCGACACGACACAACGCUUCGUCCUCCUCGCCCUCCUCAUUUGCAAGGAAAAAAAAAAAACCCCUCGACGCCGCCGCUGCUCGCCGCCUUCUGUCCACCGGUGGGAUCCAAGCCCGUGCAAAAAGGGCUUGGCGGCGGGUAGAGUUCCGGGGAGGCGGAUGGGCAGACGGAGCUGCUGGCGCAGUGGGUGGCCACAAGCUGAGGAGGACUGCCUCAACUGCUCAUGGCGGCAGCGGCCAUGUGGGGCAUCGCGAUGCCGGACGGGAGCUGGUCAAUUGUCGCCUCCUCCGCACGUCGUUGCGCCGCUGCCGUCCUCCUUCGAAUGGGUGCUGCAGGUCCGUCGGCGUCCUCACUUGUGAAGCCCGCCGCAGGGCGCCCGAGUUCGCCGAGCGCGGCGCCGCGCUUGCCCGUCGUGCCUUUCCUCAGGUCCUACCUCCCUUCCGUGUGCGUCCAUGUCCGGGCGAUGCCGGAGUUGUGUUGGUUGUGGGCCAUCAGGCGAGCAGGUGGACAGUGCGCCGCUCCGGUGACCGGUCCCUUCCUUCUGAAUCGGCAGGCAUUUCCACUGCCGAAUCAGGCGUCGCCAUCUACGCAUCGACGGUGUUCUUUCCCACUCUCUGGCCUCAUGCUUCUCAGCUAUGCUGCUGCCGCCGGUCUCAUUUUUCCAGUUAUUAUCCGAAUCCAUUUGCUCGACACAAUCUUUUGUUCCCCUUUAGUUCUAUCUCUUCUCAGUGUUCGGAAAAACUCAGAUGUGGCUACAUCUACGUGCUACUUUGUUCAUUCUGACGCGCGCAAUCAUCUCAGCAGCUUCAUUUCAAUAUGCUAAUUUAUACCGCAAAUUCCUUGCUGUAGUGAAGAUGGUUAUGUGCUGUUUGGAUCUGGGAAUGCUCUCUGGUUCUGGGAGCUCAUUUGCAUCUGUCAACGGCUAACAUCCUUGUCAAAGCACCAUUUCCUUUUGUUAGAAGACCACUCAAGGACGUGCCCAUAUGUCAGCUCUUUGGCCUAUCUUUCCUCUGUUUCUUUUCCCCAUUCCCCUCUCCCUGCGCCUACAGUUCUCAAGCUACUGCCCUCAAAUCCACAGCCAUGGCUGUAAGUUCUUGGACGAUUACUACUCCAACUCAAGUCUACAAGGGUUCUGGAUGCUAUUUAUCCAUUUUUCCCCUUCGAUUUCUUCCUCUCUUGUAAUUGUCACCUCACCCUAGCGGCUUGUGCAGGAUGGGCCGCCGACGGCGAACCGGCCAUGGUGCUGUGGCCGGCGAGCUGUGGUGCUGUGAUGGGAACCAAGGCCCAUUGCGUGUUGCAGGAGCAAGCCGUGCUUCAUCUCAGGCUGUGGCAUCAACUUCUAGACUCUGACAACCUUAGCUUCUGAUUCUCCUACAAGAUCUUCACUCCUUGGAUGGUCUUUCUUCUUGAUCAGCUCGCUCUCUUCUUGACUUCCUCAUCUGGAAGGAACAAGGAGCUUCUAUUUUGUCAGUUCCAUGGGGGAAUGCUCACUCUCUCCUCCACCUUGUACUGAAAGCCUUGCAGAAAUAUAAUAUCUUAUAUGAUCAGUGUCAUUGUAUUUCAAGUGCAAGAGUACUGUAUAUCAAGGAAAUCAGUAGGGAUCAUUUCAAGCUGCAGACCGCGUCCUCACACCUCCUGGACAGUCUGAAACGUUCCAGGUGUUAGGCCAAUCUAAUAUGAAUUCAUAGCAUAUGUAGAUAGAGAGUGCCUCCAAUACAUUUUUUUUGAAAAUUCAAACUCCAUCCCACAAUGCUGCGAAAAAAUCAUGGAGUUGCUGGCAAUCCGCUGCCAGUCGUUUUGCUCGCCCCCCUGAAACAAGUUUCGGUUGUCUCUUGCUUCAUUUUUUUUUAUUUCUUUAUUUAGGCAUUUCAGCAAACAUGUAACGUAUCUUCAAGUUCCGUCUCUUAUCACCUCUGUUACACCGGUUGUAGCAACAUAUCGUCAUAUUCAACUAUCUAUUAC
This is an RNA transcript of Setaria italica (foxtail millet), 2420 nucleotides long. RefSeq lists it as uncharacterized. The record is from RefSeq and is a predicted model, not a curated record. The transcript has 6 exons. Lineage: Eukaryota; Viridiplantae; Streptophyta; Magnoliopsida; Poales; Poaceae.